UGGCUCAGAGGUUAAGAGCACUUGGUUGCUCUUCUAGAGAACCUGGGUUCAAUUCCCAG
This 59-nucleotide transfer RNA is filed under the name Cricetulus griseus (Chinese hamster). It matches the Rfam family "tRNA", at positions 8 to 63 of the family's 71-position model. Rfam says of the family: Transfer RNA (tRNA) molecules are approximately 80 nucleotides in length. Their secondary structure includes four short double-helical elements and three loops (D, anti-codon, and T loops). Lineage: Eukaryota; Metazoa; Chordata; Mammalia; Rodentia; Cricetidae. The record is from Rfam by way of RNAcentral.